UCAAAAAGAAGAAAAGCUUGCUCCAUCAGAUGUUUUUUUCUUCAGGAAUCGUCUCUACAGAAGCUUGACAUUGCAUGCUAUUUCAUUGAGGGCGAGUUUUUAAACAAGGGUAAACCGGUCACUACCAUGAGGGCAUUCCCAGCCAAUAAUGCUUCAGAAGAUUCUAUUAAAAGAGCUGAGAAGCUUGUUGAACUCUUGUUUCUAACCCGUCUUCCCAUCCCUGUGGUAUAAAUGAUCGACAUAUCCUUCUUCAUUGUUUUGAUCUUACCUAUGUCAUAACUUAAAAUGAUAUAAUUUAUAUCUGUUUGAAUCUACAUAUCAUCAUGUCAUGUUUGCUCAGCGUUUUCUUUCAACUUUAAAGCUCCAACUCCAACUAUUUCAACUGGCUUUCUAUUAUUAGUCAGGCAGUACAAGUAGCACUCCAUGGCAGGACCUGUUAAGUCAUAAAAAUCGGCUACUCGAAUGGUGGGUUUCGCGCCCGGCCGAUAUAAGAUCGACAAGGGGAAAUUUGACAAACGUGUGAAGCGUUUUAAGAACCACAUGCAGAAAAUCGCAGACCUGACAGAAACUAAUCUCUACCUCAGCUUCUAUAAAGAUGUAAUCUUGCUGUUACCGGUAGAUCUGCUCUUGGUUCAUCUGUCGGGUUUUUGGUGGUACAAGAGGAUUGCAAAAGCGGUGCUUAUUGAGAAUAUGGUGUACCUAAAUACGUCAUCAUGAAGAUUGAGAAGAAUAAGAUAAAGCUGGAGAAUGAGAGAAAGAAAAAGCUGUUGAAUGCACAAACUGAAGAGGACGAGACGAUGAUGACCUGAGCCCCAUAACCUUCACCACAUGAAUACAUGGAAGACUGCAUUUCAUGGAUUGAUGGAUUUGCCUGAAUGCUAACAUCGUUGCAUUUCGUCUGUGUCAAGUUUCAUGGAUCUUUAAUCAGACAGAUCCUUUCUCCAGCUCCAGAAGUGUGCUCCCUCUGUAGAAACAUGUUAAUAAAAUCUGCGACUCCAAAAGACUGCUCAACAUCCCCUGCUGAUAAAUAGCUUUCCCAAUCUUCCAGUGCAGAGUCAUCAGCUAUAGGAUCAACUUCCUUUUGUAUACUACUAGAGGAGUGCAAAGUCAAUGUAUGAUCAGAAGCGCAAAGUCAUCAGCCAUAACAUCAACUGCCUUGCGCUUUACACAGGAUUGCAAAGUCAAUUUACUGCCUGCUUUCCCUUCUGAUCCGUUCUGACACAUUGGAGUAGACAAACACUUAUAAGCCUUUAAAUCUGAC
Long non-coding RNA from Rosa rugosa (rugosa rose), 1261 nucleotides. RefSeq lists it as uncharacterized. The transcript is spliced from 7 exons. The record is from RefSeq and is a predicted model, not a curated record. NCBI's taxonomy places the organism in Eukaryota, Viridiplantae, Streptophyta, Magnoliopsida, Rosales, Rosaceae.